Mauremys reevesii (Reeves's turtle) is the source of this 1191-nucleotide long non-coding RNA. RefSeq lists it as uncharacterized. The transcript has 2 exons. NCBI's taxonomy places the organism in Eukaryota, Metazoa, Chordata, Testudines, Geoemydidae. The record is from RefSeq and is a predicted model, not a curated record.
GGGUGGGGGGGGCAGAUGUGCACAGUUAGAACAGACGCGCCGCUCACUAUCCGGCACCAGAACAUUUCCACGCUGCCUUUCCCCUGCCUGCCCCCCGCCCCACAGAACGCAGCCCUGGCUCGCUGAGCGAUCUACCUUCCCAUUGGCCACACUGGGUGACGUGUUGCUGCCGAACCUCCCUAAUAAACAGCCCAUUGGCCCAUGGUGGCAGUAGGUUCGUGAGUGGCUGCGCUAAUGGCCAAUCAGCGCUAUCCUGGGUGGGUGGGUGUGUGUGUAAAACUGACCGUGCGGCGCCAGUUGUUCGAACCUGGGCGCUGGGGAAGGGAGCGGGGACCCGGCAGCCCCGGGCGCUCCGCAAGUGGUGAGCAAUUUGGCCUGCUGAUAGGAUGUUACCUCUUUUUUUCCUGCUGCCACCUUGGAUGACUUGUCCAGAGUCUUUACAAGUUUGUAUGAUUAGGGUCAAUGUGCUGUUUAUUAAAUUGUUGAGGAUUUCACUUCAGAUCUUCAUGGAAAGCCUUCCAGAAUGUCUGGAUGUUCUGGGAUAAGACUCACUGGUAGAGCUGAGGACACAGCUAAUCUAGGGCAUGUCUUCGCUAGGGUUUUAUAACACAUGUAACCCCAGCCCUGAUGCGUGGCCUAAGACUUCUCCCUGUUGCUUGCUUCUUGGAGUGGCUUCUCACCUCAAGGGUAUGGGACCUGUGAGCUCAUCUGCCAGCCCCAUAGGCAGCUUGGCUGUGGCUCCACCCCCAGCCUCUCUCCCCAGACCCUGGACCUGCUUCUGGCGCUAGACCCUGCCCUCCAGCAGCAGCCCUGGCCUUGGCCCCCUUACCCUGUAUGCGUCACCUCUCCCUGCCACCCCUCUUCAAUCAACAGAAAGGGCUACCUUUAUAUGGUUGUGCAAGCAUUGGUGGGUCAUCAAAAAUGCUUCACCAAUAUCAGUGUUGGCUGGUUAGGGAAGAUACGUGAUGCUUGCAUUGUUAAGAACACAAGACUGUUGAAAGUUACAAUCAGAGACUUUCUUGACUGGCAGAUUACUAUUGGCAAUGUUGAAAUGUGAGUAGUGAUACUGGGAGGACCCAACCUACCCCUUGCGCCAUUGGCUCAUGAAGGCAUCCACCUCAACAGCACCCAGGAAAGAUUCAGCUACCAGCUCAGCAUGUGCAGAAUGACAGUUGGGUGCAUAGGCGGCAG